Molecule: unclassified non-coding RNA, 236 nt
Filed under: plant metagenome
Description: partial contains small subunit ribosomal RNA, internal transcribed spacer 1, and 5.8S ribosomal RNA
Source: RNAcentral
UUUCCGUAGGUGAACCUGCGGAAGGAUCAUUACUGAGUGAGGGCCCCUCGGGGUCCAACCUCCCACCCGUGUUUAACGAACCUUGUUGCUUCGGCGGGCCCGCCUCACGGCCGCCGGGGGGCAUCUGCCCCCGGGCCCGCGCCCGCCGAAGCAACCUGUGAACGCUGUCUGAAGUAUGCAGUCUGAGACAAUAAUUAAAUUAAUUAAAACUUUCAACAACGGAUCUCUUGGUUCCG